RNAcentral lists this ribosomal RNA (584 nucleotides) under uncultured bacterium. RNAcentral describes it as "bacterial SSU rRNA". It matches the Rfam family "Bacterial small subunit ribosomal RNA", at positions 912 to 1499 of the family's 1533-position model. The record is from RNAcentral.
GACGGGGACCCGCACAAGCGGUGGAGCAUGUGGUUUAAUUCGAAGCAACGCGAAGAACCUUACCAGGCCUUGACAUCCCAAGGAAAGAUCCUUAACCGGAUCCCCUCUUCGGAGUCUUGGAGACAGGUGGUGCAUGGUUGUCGUCAGCUCGUGUCGUGAGAUGUUGGGUCAAGUCCCGCAACGAGCGCAACCCUUGUCCGUAGUAGCCAGCAGUAAGAUGGGAACUCUACGGAGACUGCCGGGGAUAACCCGGAGGAAGGUGGGGAUGACGUCAAAUCAUCAUGCCCCUUACGGUCUGGGCGACACACGUGCUACAAUGGCGUAAACAAAGAGAAGCGAAAGGGUGACCUGGAGCAAAUCUCAAAAAUAACGUCUCAGUUCGGACUGUAGUCUGCAACUCGACUACACGAAGCUGGAAUCGCUAGUAAUCGCGGAUCAGAAUGCCGCGGUGAAUACGUUCCCGGGUCUUGUACACACCGCCCGUCACACCAUGGGAGUUGGUAAUGCCCGAAGCCGGUGGCCUAACGAAAGAGGGAGCCGUCGAAGGCAGGACCGAUGACUGGGGUGAAGUCGUAACAAGAGGG